CCUACGGGGGGCAGCAGUGAGGAAUAUUGGUCAAUGGACGCAAGUCUGAACCAGCCAUGCCGCGUGCAGGAAGACGGCUCUAUGAGUUGUAAACUGCUUUUGUACGAGGGUAAACUCAGAUACGCGUAUCUGUCUGAAAGUAUCGUACGAAUAAGGAUCGGCUAAAUCCGUGCCAGCAGCCGCGGUAAUACGGAGGAUUCAAGCGUUAUCCGGAUUUAUUGGGUUUAAAGGGUGCGUAGGCGGACGGAUAAGUUAGAGGUGAAAUCCAGGGGCUCAACAUGGGAAUUGCCUCUGAUACUGGUCGGCUAGAGAGUAGUAGAGGUAGGCGGAAUGUAUGGUGUAGCGGUGAAAUGCUUAGAGAUCAUGCAGAACAUCGAUUGCGAAGGCAGCUUAC
This 394-nucleotide ribosomal RNA is filed under the name uncultured bacterium. Its description in RNAcentral is "partial 16S ribosomal RNA". It matches the Rfam family "Bacterial small subunit ribosomal RNA", at positions 338 to 729 of the family's 1533-position model. The record is from RNAcentral.